Hippocampus comes (tiger tail seahorse) is the source of this 422-nucleotide long non-coding RNA. RefSeq lists it as uncharacterized. The transcript has 2 exons. NCBI's taxonomy places the organism in Eukaryota, Metazoa, Chordata, Actinopteri, Syngnathiformes, Syngnathidae. The record is from RefSeq and is a predicted model, not a curated record.
GUAACAGAGGACCACCCCUCCCCACCCUCUCUCCAUCUGACUGCGCCCAGCUCCUCAUCGUCAUCCUUCAUCCUCAUCCUGCUGCAGCCUCACGCGCCCCUAAAAACAUGUUAGGAUCUACUAUUCUCGUUGGAAUGCCUCGGGAGCUUCCCUGGACUCAGUUAGGGAUUCGAGAACAACAACAACUAAAGGAUGCGCAGGUCCGACGUCCACAUCCUUGCCCCCCUCUCAGCAUCCUCAUCCCUCCCACCUCCCAUCCUGCGCAGGGCUCCAAGGAUCGGGUUGAAGCGCUCGAUCGUCGGACACAAGACUAACCAGCAACGGCCUCCACUCCCAUCGCUUUCAAAAGGCAUCCAUGCGGGCUGGAAGGCAAAAAUAUUGCAAGAAGUAUCACAAGAUUAACAUUUCGUGUGCCGUGUGAA